GAUGAAGAACGUAGUGAAAUGCGAUACUUGGUGUGAAUUGCAGAAUCCCGUGAACCAUCGAGUCUUUGAACGCAAGUUGCGCCCGAAGCCAUCAGGUUGAGGGCACGUCUGCCUGGGCGUCACAUAUCGUUGCCCAAUGCCUAUUGCAGUGCAAUAGGAAUUUCUAGGGCGAAUGAUGGCUUCCCGUGAGCGUUGUUGCCUCGCGGUUGGUUGAAAAUCGAGUCCUUGGUAGGUUGUGCCAUGGUAGAUGGUGGUCGAGUUAGAACGAUACCGAUCAUGUGCAUGCUCCCCAAAAUAUGGCCUCUAUGACCCACACGCGUCUUUUGACGCUCAUGACGAGACCUCAGGUCAGGCGGGGCUACCCGCUGAAUUUAAGCAUAUCAAUAAGCGGAGGA
This 395-nucleotide unclassified non-coding RNA is filed under the name soil metagenome. RNAcentral describes it as "partial contains 5.8S ribosomal RNA, internal transcribed spacer 2, and large subunit ribosomal RNA". The stretch from base 1 to 122 matches the Rfam family "5.8S ribosomal RNA", at positions 35 to 154 of the family's 154-position model. The record is from RNAcentral.